Molecule: ribosomal RNA, 258 nt
Filed under: uncultured bacterium
Lineage: Bacteria
Description: partial 16S ribosomal RNA
Rfam family: Bacterial small subunit ribosomal RNA
Source: RNAcentral
UACGUAGGGUGCAAGCGUUGUUCGGAAUUACUGGGCGUAAAGCGCGCGUAGGCGGGCUUGAAAGUUGAUUGUGAAAGCCCUGGGCUUAACCCGGGAAUGGCAGUCAAAAUUACAAGUCUUGAGUGCCUGAGAGGAUGGCGGAAGUUCCCGGUGAUCGAGUAGUGAAAUAACGUAGAUAUCGGGAAGAACACCUGAGGCGAAGGCGGCUAUCUGGCGGUGCACUGACGCUGAGGCGCGAAAGCGUGGGGAGCAAACAGG